This 101-nucleotide small RNA is filed under the name Arabidopsis thaliana (thale cress). RNAcentral's name for it is "ATSL085060". Lineage: Eukaryota; Viridiplantae; Streptophyta; Magnoliopsida; Brassicales; Brassicaceae. The record is from RNAcentral.
GUGUUUGCUUCAAUCAAUAUGUCUGAGUAAUCUGCUUGUUAGGAAUAGGGUUUCUCAUUAGGGAUUCAUAUGGUUUAGUAGAUUGCCCCCUCUGCUUGGUU